CUUGAAGCUUUCUGCUUAAAGCACACUGCUUUCACUGAGGGCAUUGUCUCUCCUGUUUUUUGUGCCUGAGAAGAAAUAGGGGUAAGAAAUUGUGUUCCUCACCUAAAACAAAUCAGGCAUUGAUGAGAAGACAGUCUGCAUGGCAGCAGCAAAGUCAUAUUGAGGUUGUUCCAAAGAGGAAGUAUCUACAUAUUUAAAAGUUUCCACAGUUGUUUUGACCUGUAUAUACAGAUGGACUGGCAGGAGAGAAGAGUAACUUGUGCAUGUCUCUGCAGCAAAGAUGACCGUUGGUCUUUUAUUACCAGGGAUUUUGGUGUAUUCUGUGAGUGAGUGAGUGAGU
Molecule: long non-coding RNA, 340 nt
Organism: Sciurus carolinensis (gray squirrel)
Lineage: Eukaryota; Metazoa; Chordata; Mammalia; Rodentia; Sciuridae
Exons: 3
Source: RefSeq, a predicted model, not a curated record